Molecule: ribosomal RNA, 656 nt
Filed under: uncultured archaeon
Lineage: Archaea
Description: bacterial SSU rRNA
Rfam family: Archaeal small subunit ribosomal RNA
Source: RNAcentral
UACUGCUAUCAGUGUUCGAUUAAGCCAUGCGAGUUAAAUGUUCUUCGUGAACAUGGCGUACUGCUCAGUAACACGUGGAUAACCUGCCCUAAGGUCCGGCAUAACCCCGGGAAACUGGGGAUAAUACCGGAUAAACCAUAGAUACUGGAAUGUUCUGUGGUUAAAAGUUCCGGCGCCUUAGGAUGGAUCUGCGGCCUAUCAGGUAGUAGUGGGUGUAAAGUACCUACUAGCCGACGACGGGUACGGGUUGUGAGAGCAAGAGCCCGGAGAUGGAUUCUGAGACAUGAAUCCAGGCCCUACGGGGCGCAGCAGGCGCGAAAUCUUUACAAUGCGGGAAACCGCGAUAAGGGGACACUGAGUGCCAGCAUAUUAUGUUGGCUGUCCACCUGUAUAAAUCACAGGUGUUAGCAAGGGCCGGGCAAGACCGGUGCCAGCCGCCGCGGUAACACCGGCGGCCCGAGUGGUAGCCACUAUUAUUGGGUCUAAAGGGUCCGUAGCCGGUUUGAUCAGUCUUCCGGGAAAUCUGACAGCUCAACUGUUAGGCUUCCAGGGGAUACUGUCAGGCUUGGGACCGGGAGAGGUAAGAGGUACUACAGGGGUAGGAGUGAAAUCUUGUAAUCCCUGUGGGACCGCCAGUGGCGAAGGCGUCUUACCAG